Molecule: ribosomal RNA, 423 nt
Filed under: uncultured archaeon
Lineage: Archaea
Description: partial 16S ribosomal RNA
Source: RNAcentral
GGACUACGGGGGUAUCUAAUCCCUUUCGCGCCCCUAGCCUUCAUCCCUUACUGUCAGAACUGUCCUCGUAAGAUGCCUUCGCUGUUGUUAGUCCGUCUGGGAUUAACACAUUUUACCGCUACUCCAAACGUACUUCUUACGUCUUCCAGUCUCUAGCUUAACAGUACUUCUUGCCCGCUCCAUAUUUAAGACAUGGAAUUUCACAAGAAACUUACUAAGCAAGCUACGGAUGUUUUAGACCCAAUAAUAAUGGCUGCGACUUGGACCGCGGGUAUUACCGCGGCGGCUGGCACCCGUCUUACCCAGUCCUUAUUCGCCAAACUUUUUACAUUUGGCAAAAGCUUUUCAUAUGAAAAGCACUCUGACUCAAUCUGUCACGCUUGCGCGCAUUGCAGAAGAUUCCUAACUGCUGCCCCCCAUAGG